UUUCCUACGGGUGGCAGCAGUGGGGAAUAUUGGGCAAUGGGCGAAAGCCUGACCCAGCGACGCCGCGUGGGCGAUGAAGGCCUUCGGGUUGUAAAGCCCUGUCAUGCGGAAAGAACGACCCUGUGACGCAUACUCACAGGGAGUGACGGUACCGCAGGAGGAAGCACCGGCUAACUCCGUGCCAGCAGCCGCGGUAAUACGGAGGGUGCAAGCGUUGUUCGGAAUUAUUGGGCGUAAAGGGCGCGUAGGCGGCAGUGUAAGUCAGAUGUGAAAUACUCCGGCUUAACCAGAGAACAGCAUCUGAAACUGCACAGCUAGAGUACAGAAGAGGGAAACGGAAUUCCCGGUGUAGAGGUGAAAUUCGUAGAUAUCGGGAGGAACACCAGUGGCGAAGGCGGUUUCCUGGUCUGAUACUGACGCUGAGGCGCGAAAGCGUGGGGAGCAAACAGGAUUAGAUACCCCAGUAGUCGU
Molecule: ribosomal RNA, 471 nt
Filed under: uncultured Syntrophorhabdaceae bacterium
Lineage: Bacteria; Pseudomonadati; Thermodesulfobacteriota; Syntrophorhabdia; Syntrophorhabdales; Syntrophorhabdaceae
Description: bacterial SSU rRNA
Rfam family: Bacterial small subunit ribosomal RNA
Source: RNAcentral